CAGUGCUGCUCUAUUCUGGGACAAGCAGAACCACCCAGCCCAUGUAAAUCUCAGUUUCACUCCCACAGCUACCAGUCUAGUAGUUAGACUGGGACAGAUAUGAGUGACUGGUUUUAACCUCGAUGGUGGAUUCAGAUGUAACAGACCUGCUCAUCAAGAUAGUUCAUAUAUUGCUCGAUGAUCACAUCACACGUUUGGUUGUGAGGUUCAUAUGGAGAUUCGAUUUAUGGGGCUGAUGCAACAUCACCAUUGUUUAUUUUUUUACAUCUGUGGAUCUGACUCUGAUUAUGAACAGGUAAUGUGUGUUUUAAAACUUCAUAUAACUUUUAUAAGUGAACUUCACGACCAUGACAAUAAAUAUUCACAAGUGUGAUGAGGAUGAUGGGGAACUUGUGAUCUGAAUGAUGCUUUGUAAAAAUACUCAAAGUUGACCUCUUCUACUGAUCAGUGUUCCAUGUCACUGUCUUCCCCUCAGCACCUGGGAUAAGUUUACAUUAUAGACAUCAUCACUGAUGUAUUUAGCUCAGUGUAAUUUAGUUCAGUCAGUGUUCCAUGUCAAUGUCUCUUCCCCCUAAGCACCUGCAGUAGGUCCCAGCUGUAUCAGUACAGUCACUGUGCAGUCUGACUGAGGGAGGUUUUUGUACGUCUCUGUAUCACUGUGUGAACACAUCUUUACUAAUGAUGUAGUGGUAACUCUGACAGUAGUAAUCUCCUGCAUCUUCAGCCUGGACUCCACUGAUGGUCAGAGUGAAGUCACUCCCAGAUCCACUGCCACUGAAUCUAGAUGGAGUCCCAGACUGAAGUGUUGUAGCAUAGUAAAUAAGGAGUUUAGGAGCUCCUCCAGGUUUCUGUUGGUACCAGUCUAGAUAGUUAUUAGAAUACACAUUACUGCUGGUUUUACAGUUCAGAGAGACUGUCUGUUCUGGGAGAACAGCUUUCACUACCGGAGUCUGUGUCACAACGUACUGUCCUCUGGAUUCU
Non-coding RNA from Oncorhynchus mykiss (rainbow trout), 981 nucleotides. Lineage: Eukaryota; Metazoa; Chordata; Actinopteri; Salmoniformes; Salmonidae. The record is from RefSeq and is a predicted model, not a curated record.